Long non-coding RNA from Lycium ferocissimum, 3247 nucleotides. RefSeq lists it as uncharacterized. The transcript is spliced from 3 exons. The record is from RefSeq and is a predicted model, not a curated record. Lineage: Eukaryota; Viridiplantae; Streptophyta; Magnoliopsida; Solanales; Solanaceae.
CAUAGGAAAAUAGAGACAAUUGGAGAAAUUUUCUGUGUCCAUUUCAUUGUAAGACCAUGCCUAUAUAUAUACAAGAAUAGUGAAACAAAUAAUGAAAUAAUCCUAUACAUUUGUCUAUUUUCUAUUUGUUCCUCUAUAACAAACUGUCUUUUGUAAUGUACUACCUAGGAUAGAAUAUUCCCAUCACAAUCUAAAUGUGCUUGAUCAUCAAGAAAGUUUUGAUAGUGUGGAUCAACUAAAUUUGUCAACUUUGGAUGAUUGAGAUUGAAAACUAUGUAAUUGGGCCACAACUCUUCUCUCUUAUUACAUCUGAUUUAUCCAAUUGGACUAUGUCCUUCUUUGGGCCACCCUGUACAAACAUUUUGGGCCUCAUCUGUGUGUUCAAUUCUUUGUAGUGUAAGACCCAAUAUUCUUAUCUCUUUCAGUCGAUACAUACGAGGACAUAGUCUUCUCAUUCUUCAUAUCAUCAAAAUCAAAAUGUUGAUCUUCUUCGUCUUUGUGAGGUUUGUGAGGAAUAUGAGUGUCAACAAUAUGUCUAGGGACCAUAAGCCUGACCUUCAACCUGAAAAGGGAAGAAGGAUUACAAAUACUGGUGGAUAUGUCCGGUUUGGACAGGUCAAUGGGAGUUUAAACAUGGCAAGAGCAAUCGGAGACAUGAAGCUGAAACAAGAACAAAUGAUUGCCUGCUGGAAAACAAAGAGUGAAUGCUAAUCCUGAUAUCCCCGCUGUUGAGCUUUCCAAUGAUGAUGAUUUCCUUGUUCUAGCUUGUGAUGGCAUAUGGUAAGAAUAUUGUACCAUUUUAAUUUUAUCUUCCCAGCUUUGUCACUGAAUUUGAAUCAAUAUUCAAUGAUUUUUACGGGAAUACCAGCUUAUGUUUCUUCAAGAGUCAUUAGAUUGCUAGACUUAGAGUACUUGAAUUUGCAUACUGUUUGCUAGCAGGUUGACAAAAUUCACAUGGAAAAAAUUUGGUAUUGAUUUUUGUGGGUCUUUUUGAAAGAAUGGUUGCUCUGCACAUUGUUUCCAUACCAAUGCAACUUAUCACAAAACAAAGGAAAAAAUGAUGGAGUCAAUUAGAGAGAGGUCGAACUUGCAUCUUUUUAGUGUAGUUAGGAAUUCUCUGCGACAAGGUUAUUUUCUUGUACUUAGUACUUAAGUUUACAUUAGAUGUGAGUACAUUUCCAGAGGUCUGGAAGUUGAUGGCUAUGGAAUAGUAUUGAAAGGGAGUUUUGGAUUAAAUUGGGUCUUGCUUAAUUGAAUGCCAAUAAUCUUGAAAUUAUAAAAAUUAGGUGAAGUCUGAGUAACCUAACCCUCGUAGGAAUUGAAACCAUGAAAAGUGUAGGUGUGAGGUGUUUGAAUGGAAAUCGAAGCAAAAAUUAUGUAGAGAAAGCUAACUGUGAUCGACUAAGAAAAACAACCUAAGAUACGGAUCGUAUUUCCUUAUAUGGCCAUAUCCUGGGUCGUAAGUUGGUGGGUUAAAAUAAAGGAGUCACUGCCUUAGAAAUAUAUGCUUAAAUACGGAUCGUAUAAAAUUAUACGACCCUAUCUCUGAACGUAUUUCCAAGGUAGAAACUUGAGAUGUUUCUUCCUUAGACAUAUAUGCUUAAAUACGGUCCGUAUUUAUUUAUACGGACCGUAUCUCUGAUCGUAUGUCUGAAAUGGAAACAUUACGACCAACUUAUACGAACAGUACAAUUUUAUACGGCCCGUAUUGUUCUUUUAUGACCACACACACAAAAAAAAGAUUUUGUCUUUCUUUGGUGAUUGGUUCUUCAUGGCCCUGUUCCUAAUGAUACUUCUCUUAUAGGUAUGACUGUAAAGCAUUCAGUAAAGAGGGGAACCGGGCCAAGAGGCCGAGGCCGAGGUCGUGACCGAGCGGAUGUCACACAUGCCCUACAUGAUUCCCCCUCCCAAUCUGAAGAAGAGGAGGAGGUCAUGCCUUAGAAGAAGAUCUGGGAGGAGGAGGAAGGGGGGGGGGGGGGCAUAACAUCCCAACCCCAAACCAUAACACUGUCAGCUUCUAACUCUUCCUAGUCUGAAGAGGAGGAGGAAGGAUCCUCAACAUUUGCUUCGGGAGAGGCGGAAACUGAGGGUGCUGAACAAGGAAGUAGAGCGAAAAUCGAGGGAACUGAACGAGUGAGUUUUAUAUUAUUUGGUAUUACCUAUGUGGUCCGAAGGGACAUUGUUCCAAACGUGACAUUGCAAAGAUUUGAGAAUAGGAUUAUAUUGGUAGUUGAUUACGGAUGUUGUUAUGUUUAUUCGCCCUCAUGAUUAUUGUUGAUUUUGACAUUUAUGUAUGCAUUCCAUCCUACAUUUCUCAUGAUACUGUGAUGUGGUCCCAAUGGACAAAGUGAAGGAGGAAAGUCAUCUCUGGGCUGUGUGCGGAGUGACUAUGGACAUAAUUGAUAUAUUACCCAUCUCUGGGCUGUGUGCGGAAUGGCUAGUGAUAUGGAACCAUCUCUGGGUUGUGUGCAGAGUGGUUGGUGUUGUGGAGUCAUCUUUGGGCUGUGUGCGGAAUGACUGGUACAUGAACUUCGUGAGUUCUCCAUGGGUCAUGACUAUCGAGAUGUGGAGAUUUUCCUCCAUAGCGUAUGUGUACGAUAUGAGACAGUUGGCCAGUGCAUUGCAUCGCACAUGCAUUCAUAUUACAUCUACUCAUAUCUGUGAUUCUGUUUGUUGUAUUUAUUAUAUUGCCUGGUGCGUUUCAACAUGGAUUCCUUGGUUGAUUAUUGAUUUGAGUUGUCAUGUGCCUGAUUAAUACAUACUUGGGGACUUGAUGAACUCAAGGAUUAGAGACUUCCCCCUAGGCUAUGACUUGAGGUUACAGAGAUUUAUUGUGGUUCCUAUUACCGUGAGAUCGGUUGUAUGUGCUUAAUAACCAAAUUUGAUUGCUUACUUGCCUAUUUGUUGAUUUCUUUCUUUUAUAUAUGUUAGCUAAUUGUUGUCAGCCUAUGAUGCCUACCAGUACGUGUUGUUUGUACUGAUGCUACCUUGCUGCAUUCUUUUCUGAGUGCAGAGUUUGUUACAGAUUUCACUUCAGGCCCUCGCGGGUGAGUUCUCGAGGCAGUCAGUUGGAGUUUCCAGGGUGAGCCGUGUUCCGGUCCGCUGCCUGAGGACUCUUCUAUCCUAUUGUCAUUAUUUCAUAUCUUGAGACAGGCUUGUAUAGUUCAGACUUGUAUUAGCUUGUAUUAGUAGCUUUUGUACAUUUUAGACCAAAUUCCUUGGGUAGUUGUUGUAUUCCGCAUUACUA